This 77-nucleotide transfer RNA is filed under the name Bacillota bacterium. RNAcentral's name for it is "tRNA-Pro". It matches the Rfam family "tRNA". Rfam says of the family: Transfer RNA (tRNA) molecules are approximately 80 nucleotides in length. The record is from RNAcentral. RNAcentral also lists the same sequence under 1 other name. Lineage: Bacteria; Bacillati; Bacillota.
CGGGGUGUAGCGCAGCUUGGUAGCGCACUUGGUUUGGGACCAAGGGGUCGCAGGUUCAAAUCCUGUCGCCCCGACCA